RNAcentral lists this ribosomal RNA (468 nucleotides) under uncultured bacterium. Its description in RNAcentral is "partial 16S ribosomal RNA". It matches the Rfam family "Bacterial small subunit ribosomal RNA", at positions 28 to 507 of the family's 1533-position model. The record is from RNAcentral.
GACGAACGCUGGCGGCGUGCUUAACACAUGCAAGUCGAACGGAAAGGCCCUGCUUUUGUGGGGUGCUCGAGUGGCGAACGGGUGAGUAACACGUGAGUAACCUGCCCUUGACUUUGGGAUAACUUCAGGAAACUGGGGCUAAUACCGGAUAGGAGCUCCUGCUGCAUGGUGGGGGUUGGAAAGUUUCGGCGGUUGGGGAUGGACUCGCGGCUUAUCAGCUUGUUGGUGGGGUAGUGGCUUACCAAGUCUUUUACGGGUAGCCGGCCUGAGAGGGUGACCGGCCACAUUGGGACUGAGAUACGGACCAGACUCCUACGGGAGGCAGCAGUGGGGAAUAUUGCACAAUGGGCGGAAGCCUGAUGCAGCAACGCCGCGUGCGGGAUGACGGCCUUCGGGUUGUAAACCGCUUUCGCCUGUGACGAAGCGUGAGUGACGGUAAUGGGUAAAGAAGCACCGGCUAACUACGUG